UAGGGAAUCUUCGGCAAUGGACGAAAGUCUGACCGAGCAACGCCGCGUGAGUGAAGAAGGUUUUCGGAUCGUAAAACUCUGUUGUUAGAGAAGAACAAGGACGUUAGUAACUGAACGUCCCCUGACGGUAUCUAACCAGAAAGCCACGGCUAACUACGUGCCAGCAGCCGCGGUAAUACGUAGGUGGCAAGCGUUGUCCGGAUUUAUUGGGCGUAAAGCGAGCGCAGGCGGUUUCUUAAGUCUGAUGUGAAAGCCCCCGGCUCAACCGGGGAGGGUCAUUGGAAACUGGGGGACUUGAGUGCAGAAGAGGGGAGUGGAAUUCCAUGUGUAGCGGUGAAAUGCGUAGAUAUAUGGAGGAACACCAGUGGCGAAGGCGGCUCUCUGGUCUGUAACUGACGCUGAGGCUCGAAAGCGUGGGGAGCAAACAGG
RNAcentral lists this ribosomal RNA (429 nucleotides) under Chloroflexota bacterium. Its description in RNAcentral is "Chloroflexi bacterium partial 16S ribosomal RNA". It matches the Rfam family "Bacterial small subunit ribosomal RNA", at positions 355 to 776 of the family's 1533-position model. The record is from RNAcentral. Lineage: Bacteria; Bacillati; Chloroflexota. RNAcentral also lists the same sequence under 1 other name.